GAUCCUGGCUCAGGAUGAACGCUGGCGGCGUGCUUAACACAUGCAAGUCGAACGAAGCUCCCCGAUACAAGGCUUCGGCCAAGUUGAAGGGAUGACUUAGUGGCGGACGGGUGAGUAACGCGUGAGGAACCUGCCUUUCAGUGGGGGACAACAGUUGGAAACGACUGCUAAUACCGCAUAAUGUUUCUGGACCGCAUGAUCUGGAAACCAAAGCUUUAUGUGCUGAAAGAUGGCCUCGCGU
Molecule: ribosomal RNA, 241 nt
Filed under: uncultured bacterium
Lineage: Bacteria
Description: partial 16S ribosomal RNA
Rfam family: Bacterial small subunit ribosomal RNA
Source: RNAcentral